Molecule: long non-coding RNA, 310 nt
Filed under: Elaeis guineensis (African oil palm)
Lineage: Eukaryota; Viridiplantae; Streptophyta; Magnoliopsida; Arecales; Arecaceae
Description: long non-coding RNA (EGUI_LNC049769)
Source: RNAcentral
ACAGUUGAACUCUGAGGUGUCCUAUGAUCAUUUUGGUCAAGGGGAUAAAUUAUAUGAAAACUAUAUCUGCAUGGGUUCUAAGGAUGUUGUUCUACACAUUCGACCUAUCCGAUCGUCGGGUAUCAUUGCUAGAUGGUCACUUCGAUUGGUAUAAAAAUUUAUUUCUAUGCUAUCGGUUUAGGUUCGGAUCUAUGAGGUCACACACAUUAGAGUUCAUGAUCCGAUCGGAUGGUUGAUCAAUGAUUAAGAAUCGUUCUAGGGUUAAAUGAUCAAUACGAUUGACAUUUAACCCAGUGCAAGUGUUGCAGGA